GGAUCAAUAUGUUGGUCGUGCCUUGGUACGUACUAGCUCAUUGGUUUCUCCCUUCUGACGAACCAUGAUGUCAUUAAUUUGAUGUCAUGGGGAAUCAGGACUUGUUACUUUGAAAAAUUAGAGUGUUUAAAGCAGGCUCGCGCUUGAAUACAUUAGCAUGGAAUAAUGAAAUAGGACAUUUGAUUCUAUUUUGUUGGUUUCUAGGAUCGAUGUAAUGAUUAA
This 222-nucleotide ribosomal RNA is filed under the name uncultured Glomeromycotina. RNAcentral describes it as "partial 18S ribosomal RNA". The stretch from base 45 to 222 matches the Rfam family "Eukaryotic small subunit ribosomal RNA", at positions 692 to 872 of the family's 1831-position model. Lineage: Eukaryota; Fungi; Glomeromycota. The record is from RNAcentral.